AUCUAUGAUUAGGUACUUGAACUCCCCUUCCUUAUCAACUCCUUCAUAUUCCCCUUGUGGGGUUUUCGUUUUAAGAUAAUUUGACUGCAUAGUGAUGGUUUGUUUGAACUACUGCUAACAAUUUACAUUAACAUUUGAUUAGAAUCUCUAUUGUUGUUAUUGUUUAGUGUGCACACAAACAGAUUUCUAUUUACAUAGCUGUAGUUGGUUGGAGUCGUACU
Molecule: unclassified non-coding RNA, 221 nt
Filed under: Hevea brasiliensis (rubber tree)
Lineage: Eukaryota; Viridiplantae; Streptophyta; Magnoliopsida; Malpighiales; Euphorbiaceae
Source: RNAcentral